CCCUUAGAUGUUCUGGGCUGCACGCGCGCUACACUGAAGCGUUCAACGAGUAUUCACCUUGCCCGGGAGGGUUGGGUAAUCUUUUGAAAACGCUUCGUGAUGGGGAUAGAUUAUUGCAAUUAUUAAUCUUCAACGAGGAAUUCCUAGUAAGCGCGAGUCAUCAGCUCGUGCUGAUUACGUCCCUGCCCUUUGUACACACCGCCCGUCGGUCCUACCGAUUGAGUGAUCCGGUGAAUAAUUCGGACUGCAGCACUGCUUGGUCUCCAGGCUUUGCAGCGGAAAGUUUAGUGAACCUUAUCACUUAGAGGAAGGAGAAGUCGUAACA
This 325-nucleotide ribosomal RNA is filed under the name uncultured eukaryote. RNAcentral describes it as "partial 18S ribosomal RNA". It matches the Rfam family "Eukaryotic small subunit ribosomal RNA", at positions 1470 to 1796 of the family's 1831-position model. The record is from RNAcentral.